AAUUUUGGAUAAUGGGGGAAACCCUGAUCCAGCCAUCUCGCGUGUAUGAUGAAGGCCUUCGGGUUGUAAAGUACUUUUGGCAGGGAAGAAAAGGUAUCCCCUAAUACGGGAUACUGCUGACGGUACCUGCACAAUAAGCACCGGCUAACUAUGUGCCAGACGCCACGGUAAUACGUAGGGUGCAAGCGUUAAUCGGAAUUACUGGGCGUAAAGCGUGUGUAGGCGGUUCGGAAAGAAAGAUGUGAAAUCACAGGGCUCAACCUUGGAACUGCAUUUUUAACUGCCGAGCUAGAGUAUGUCAGAGAGAGGUAGAAGUCAACGUGUAGCAGUGAAAUGCGUAGAUAUGUGGAGGAAUACCGAUGGCGAAGGCAGCCCCCUGGGAUAAUACUGACGCUCAGACACGAGAGCGUGGGGAGCAAACAGG
Molecule: ribosomal RNA, 424 nt
Filed under: uncultured bacterium
Lineage: Bacteria
Description: partial 16S ribosomal RNA
Rfam family: Bacterial small subunit ribosomal RNA
Source: RNAcentral